ACUUCUAAGUGUUUGAAAAGAUUACAUAUAUACUAAAUCUAGUGUAGUAUUCAGUUAGCUCUCUCUUUUCAUCUGAGUCACAUCUGGAUGUCCUUUUGCAGUUGCCAAGACAAGCAAGUGUAUUCAGGGAAAUAAACACAUAAAGUAAGACAACAUUGACAUAUGCAGAAAUGGACAGGACAGAAUUCCAGUCAUCUAGCCCCAGUGUCCCAAACUUCAUUGAGAUGGACCACAAGUCACCCAAUCUCACCAUUGUGCUGUUCGGAAGCACAUCUGCAGUCUACUUUGGAAAAGAGAACUUCCUACUCAGACGAGAGCAGCCUAGUCAAUCUGGCAGGGACUUCUCUCUGGUCGUUCCCAGGCGAAACAUAUUAGGACGCAAUG
Non-coding RNA from Electrophorus electricus (electric eel), 384 nucleotides. Lineage: Eukaryota; Metazoa; Chordata; Actinopteri; Gymnotiformes; Gymnotidae. The record is from RefSeq and is a predicted model, not a curated record.